Non-coding RNA from Parasteatoda tepidariorum (common house spider), 555 nucleotides. The record is from RefSeq and is a predicted model, not a curated record. NCBI's taxonomy places the organism in Eukaryota, Metazoa, Arthropoda, Arachnida, Araneae, Theridiidae.
ACUUCGCUUAGAAAAUCACCGACCGACCCCCUCCAACCAGUUGCUCCAUGAUCGUUUGCCACCCUUCCAUCGCCCGCGCCUGCUCCCUACAAUGUCACGUGAAAAGCCGGAGAUUCCAGACACCCGCUGCUUCUUCAGUGUUGCUUUUGAGUUCUAGUGGAGAGGCGGUCUUUCUACUUUUUCUUGUCUUUCUUUAAUAAUGAAAAAAGAGAUAAAUUAAUUGCCGUUCAUAAAGUGUGAGAAAGAGAUGUUAUAGAAAUUUGGAAGAGGAGUUGAAAAAAUUGUUUUGAUUUUUUUUUGUUCUUUUUUUUUCGUUUUAGUUGUGUUGUGAAAAGAUUGUUUUAUUUUGUUGCCUUUUGAUUGGCUUUGGGAUUAAAAAAAACUUUUUUUGUUUGUUUUUUUGGUGAUUUUUGAAUUUGUAAUUCGACAAGUGCUGAGAUCUGUAUAGGAAUUGAAAGAACUUCUUCAGAAUAGAAUGACAUAAUGAACUUUAAAGCUAAGCGGUCACACUAUCUUUGAUGUUCGAAGUAAUAUGCUAAAUCGAGUCGGUAAGUG